Molecule: long non-coding RNA, 390 nt
Organism: Hyalella azteca
Lineage: Eukaryota; Metazoa; Arthropoda; Malacostraca; Amphipoda; Hyalellidae
Exons: 4
Source: RefSeq, a predicted model, not a curated record
UAUUCUUUUUGAAUUUAUUUAUGCUAUAGGUCAUAGUCAUAACAGAUGAAGUGUCGAAGUUCGAACUGUCGGUCAGGGUGCAUCAUUCCGCGAAGACUUAAUCAACAUGUAGCCUUGUGCUGCUGGGUGCUGGCACUGGGAGAGAAGGAACAGGAGUCAGGCUCAGGACAACCUCCAUGGCACUCAUUCUGCUGGCAUCUCAUUCCGUUCAGUCAUCACCAAUCUCUUCAAAGAUAAAUUCAGAUCACAAUGGAGUUCUUGGACCUGAACUCUGCAACCUAGGAGCUGGUUGGGGAUUCCUUGAUUAAGCAUCUCUGCCAAUUCUGUAACUCAGGGAUGGUUAUGAGACGACGAGACGUAAGGGGGCAUACGAGGAGAGGGUGCGGGACG